CUUUAUUGAUGACCUCUCAUUUGUGUCACUGUGUCUGGGUCAUAGAAGCCUUUUGAUGGAGCCUAAGAGAUAAAAUUCCAAGAGUUAAAG
RNAcentral lists this small nucleolar RNA (90 nucleotides) under Ursus maritimus (polar bear). Its description in RNAcentral is "Small nucleolar RNA SNORD66 (ENSUMAG00000005392.1)". The stretch from base 1 to 69 matches the Rfam family "Small nucleolar RNA SNORD66". Rfam says of the family: snoRNA HBII-142 is part of the C/D family of snoRNAs. Lineage: Eukaryota; Metazoa; Chordata; Mammalia; Carnivora; Ursidae. The record is from RNAcentral.